GAUGAACGCUAGCUACAGGCUUAACACAUGCAAGUCGAGGGGCAGCAUUUUUAUAGCAAUAUAAAAGAUGGCGACCGGCGCACGGGUGAGUAACACGUAUCCAACCUGCCGAUAACUCGGGGAUAACCCUUCGAAAGAAGGCCUAAUACCCGAUGGCAUAUCCCUUCCGCCUGGUUGAGAUAUUAAAGAACUUCGGUUAUCGAUGGGGAUGCGUUCCAUUAGCUUGUUGGCGGGUAACGCCACAGGCUCGAUGGAUAGGGGUUCUGAGAGGAAGGUCCCCCCACAUUGGAACUGAGACACGGGUCCAAACUCCUACGGGAGGCAGCAGUGAGGAAUAUUGGUCAAUGGACGAGAGUCUGAACCAGCCAAGUAGCGUGAAGGGAUGAAGGUCCUAUGGAUUGUAAACUUCUUUUAUACGGGAAUAAAGUGCAGUAUGCAUACUGUUUUGAUGUACCGUAUG
RNAcentral lists this ribosomal RNA (460 nucleotides) under uncultured bacterium. RNAcentral's name for it is "bacterial SSU rRNA". It matches the Rfam family "Bacterial small subunit ribosomal RNA", at positions 28 to 484 of the family's 1533-position model. The record is from RNAcentral.